GAUUUUUCCAGUAUUAAUUGGAUCCAGCUAUUAAUUGGAUUUAUAAAGACAGUCAAUUAUUUCUAAACUUUUUAUUUCCCUUACAGUAAGUCUGCUAAUUUUCCUAUUGAUAUUAACAAUCCCACAUCUGUAUCUUUUUCUAGUCCCUCUUUUUGGAAUAUUAUUCUCUUCUAUUAGAACAUUUUCUUUUAGUACCUGCUAUCUAGAAAAUACUGUGGUGGCAGUGGGAUGAUAAGAGAUGAAUAAAACCCUGCUGUGGAGUUUACUAUCUAGUUAAAGAGGAGAAAUGUGUUAUGUAAACAACUUCUUAUAAUAAAAUAAAUGCUAUAAUAGAGACAUGAACAAAACGCUAUCAGACCACAGAAGAACACUCACUUCUAAGUGGAGGAAAUAUGAAAGACCUCAAGGAAGAAAUGUCAUUUGAAAAGCACCUAGAAGGAUGAGUAGGCUCUCAAAAGACUGAGACGGGACAGGAUUUCUGACUGAGCACAGAGAUUGGGUCCUCGUUUGUCAAUGGUUUUGCAUUUGGAUGGAAUGCUAGAUAUACGGUGGCUAGCGAAUGAACAAUUCUGAAGAAAAAAAAAUCACUCUAAGGUUUUUAUCUCUUCUUCUGAAUACAAAGGCCAUAUAUCUACCUAUUUUCAACAUUUGUUCUUAUUUA
This is a long non-coding RNA of Mirounga angustirostris (Northern elephant seal), 661 nucleotides long. RefSeq lists it as uncharacterized. NCBI's taxonomy places the organism in Eukaryota, Metazoa, Chordata, Mammalia, Carnivora, Phocidae. The transcript has 3 exons. The record is from RefSeq and is a predicted model, not a curated record.